This 2050-nucleotide long non-coding RNA is filed under the name Helianthus annuus (common sunflower). RNAcentral's name for it is "hypothetical non coding rna". The record is from RNAcentral. Lineage: Eukaryota; Viridiplantae; Streptophyta; Magnoliopsida; Asterales; Asteraceae.
AUGAACAGACAGGUUUCUGAUCCUGUUGCUACAGAUAGCCAGGAGACAUAUCAGAACCAGAGAAGAGCUUAAACAGAGAAAGCCAGGAGUUGAUUUCAAUGGUGAUAACGAUUUCCAGACAGAGAUCCCAGCAUGAUGAUAGGGGGAGUCUGACGAAAGUUAAAACCAGAGAAAGAUCCAGGCAUAUGAUUCUAGGAAGGAAUUACUGAAGAAGAUUUGAUUCCAGGCUGAGUUCCUGAAGAAGAUCGAACAAGAUUGAAGAGCUGUGAAUGAUUGAAGACUCUCACUGAAGAUUCCGUCAACAUUCAAGGGGGAGUCUGUUGGUGCAGUUGUCUGUCGACUACAUCUUCGUUCGAGUCUUAGGGUAGGGCUGAGUGUAUUGUGAACAGUAAACGAGAAAUCUUGUAUUGUAUAGGACCGCUUAUAGGGUAGAUGAGGUGGAUCGCUUAUGUGACAUUCAUGAUGGAUCGCUCAUCUGUCACUUGUUAGGAUUGCUCAUAUGGACCUGUCCGUAUAAGCGAUCCAUGACUUCUAUAUAUAGGGGUCAUAUAAGCGGUUCCAGUAGUUAGCGUAUGUGUGUGUGUAACGGCGAAGCUCUGCCCGUUUGUCUCCAAGAGCUUGUAUUUUGACAGUUAAUCAAUACAGGAGACGUUAAUUAGUGAAAUCAAGCUCUACGAAGACUAAUUCAAUGAAUUCCGCCUCUGAAUUAGUCUAAGCACUCUUCUAAACGACUCGUCAGGUCGACAAAUGAUCCUACACGGAGGAUUAAGACAGAAGUUUGGAUAGGAUAGUACUAAUUUGGUAGAAAUCUUGCUAGAUUAGUCAUAAGUCGAAUGAUUACACUCAUACCGAAAGAGUUUACAUCGUUUACAAGCUGGAUAAAUAAAAAUUUCUCCAGCAUUUCCUUCUGGGAUCUCCAAAACUUAUCAACUAACAAACAAAUGACACUCUAUAUAUAUACAUGAGGUUGGGAUGGACGAGCACGUCCGUGCAGAUGAGCUUGUCCGUGUGGAUGAGUUACAUUCGCAAGAAUGAGUUACAUCCACACGAAUGUGUUACAUCCGCAUGCUAUUACAUCCGUAUGAAGUUACAUCCCUAAGAACCUCUCUCGUCUUCUCCAAAGUCAUGUGUUUGUAUCUCAACUACACAAUAUUCAACACACACUCUAGCUAGCCUAUUUGCACAGUUGCGGACACACAGAAUAUACACUAACAUGAUUUUUCCAUGGAAACAUUUACAGUAAAAUAUUUCCACGACUCUUCAUCAUCAAAUAAGAGAAUAAAAUACAUACUAUAAUAUGAGAGAUUUAGUCAUCAACAUAUUUUAGGGGAGAUUGUUUGGUUAGGUAAGAUUUGCUGAUAAUGAAUGCCAAAACCUAAGGGAACCAUCUUCCGUGCCUGAUGGAAUAAGUUGAAGUACGAUCAAGAGUCUAGAAGUUUCCCCUCUUGAAAGCUUUCAAAACAACCCUAAAAAACUACUAAUACAUGAACUGCUGACUCAAAGUACUAAAGACAGUGUACAAAGUGCUGGAUUGAUAAAGCAUUGGUCAACUAGUCAACAACCAAGUCUAUACGUCAAAGUUGAAGACCAGAAGACCAAGUCAACAAGUCACACAAGACCUGAAGUACUAGAUUCCAAAAGUGUUGGAAUCCUUCCAACAAUUUUGGAAUUCUAGUUGUUUUCUCUUUGUAAUCUAGCAGUUUAAUGUAACAAUCUGUUUUGUUAACUGUCCAACAGUUUUGCAAAGUACUGGCAGUUACAUUAUUUAUUAAGUUGUUUAGGGUCGUUUUCAUGGUGACAUCACCGGCAGCUCUCUCCUCUUAUAUACAAUUAUGCUCAGAAUGUAAUAGUUAACACUUAGAGUUGAAAAGCAGAACUAAGUGAGAGAGUGCACGUGAUGGGAGGAAGUUUUUUUUUUUACCUUUUGAUUGUACUAUUAACAGUUUGAUUAUAUAAAACCAUUUGACAAUCAUUUUCAAAUUCAGUUGUAUUUAUGAUGAUGUGUUUAUUAUCAUUGUUUGAAUUCAAGAAUUUAUUCAACUAUUCUAUC